UAAGCAUGUAGGCUGGUUGUCCAGGCAAAUCCGGAUAAUCAAGGCUGAGGUGUGAUGACGAGGCACUACGGUGCUGAAGUAACAAAUGCCCUGCUUCCAGGAAAAGCCUCUAAGCAUCAGGUAACAUUAAAUCGUACCCCAAACCGACACAGGUGGUCAGGUAGAGAAUACCAAGGCGCUUGAGAGAACUCGGGUGAAGGAACUAGGCAAAAUGGUGCCGUAACUUCGGGAGAAGGCACGCUGGUGUGUAGGUGA
Molecule: ribosomal RNA, 255 nt
Filed under: Klebsiella pneumoniae
Lineage: Bacteria; Pseudomonadati; Pseudomonadota; Gammaproteobacteria; Enterobacterales; Enterobacteriaceae
Also listed under: 1 other name
Description: partial 23S ribosomal RNA
Rfam family: Bacterial large subunit ribosomal RNA
Source: RNAcentral